Molecule: ribosomal RNA, 198 nt
Filed under: uncultured bacterium
Lineage: Bacteria
Description: partial 16S ribosomal RNA
Rfam family: Bacterial small subunit ribosomal RNA
Source: RNAcentral
ACGCUCGACACCUACGGGAGGCAGCAGUGGGGAAUAUUGCACAAUGGGGGAAACCCUGAUGCAGCGACGCCGCGUGAGCGAAGAAGUAUUUCGGUAUGUAAAGCUCUAUCAGCAGGGAANAAACUGACGGUACCUGACUAAGAAGCACCGGCUAAAUACGUGCCUGCAGACGCGUAUCUGAGGCGGGCGUGGACAGGC